Molecule: long non-coding RNA, 1933 nt
Organism: Cherax quadricarinatus
Lineage: Eukaryota; Metazoa; Arthropoda; Malacostraca; Decapoda; Parastacidae
Source: RefSeq, a predicted model, not a curated record
UGUGAAUAAAUCGUUGGAUAAUUCAAAUUCAGUUAGGUUUGAAUCCUAGCGGUCAUUAAUUAAGUGUUGGAAGUCGUCUCUAAACUAAGGGGCAGAAUUCCUUAUAACUCAAAUUAGGGAGUAAAGUACACUACGAGUGUAUACAUUCUUUUUUUUUUUCUUCGGGAAAUGUUGCUCUGAAUCCUUGGACAAGAGCCACUGCUAAACGAAACGAGAAUUGCUAAGUUGGCGGGAAGCAGCAGCCAAUUAAAGCCUAGAUUUAACCUAUGACGUCACAGACUCGACCGCCAAGAUCUAGUAGCCAAUCAAGGGUUGUGACGUUACUGUUGAUGAUGUAUACAUCACGGUUCAUCAGCCAAUGAAAGGGCUUAGAUGCUCUACGUCACAGUGUGGAGGUGUUGCACAAACCCGCGUAAACUGGCGCCUCAGUCAUGCGCAGGAGAAGAUGACGUGGUGGUGCUCGCUCCUCUGGGGGAGAUUGCUCCAAAUCCUUGGAUCAGGAGCCCAUUACCAGCCAGGUGUGUGCAUGUCACCGCUCUGGGCACAGCCAAUGAAAACGAGAGUUACUAAGCUGGCGGGAAGCAGGAGCCAAUUACAGCCUAGAUUUAACCUAUGACGUCACGGGCUCGAGCGCCAAAACCCAGCAGCCAAUCAGCAGUCGUGACGUCAUGUGACGAGCCAGUCAGCGCUCAGAGACUCGACGUCACAGUGGUGGUGGUGCGCGUAAACUGUUGCCUCAAGUCAUGCGCGGGAGGCGGCGUCAGCGCGCGCUCCUCUGGUUAAGGUUGUUCCAAAUCCUUGGAUCAAGAGUCCAUCUUAUCACCAGCAAUCAAAACGCAAGUUACUAAGUUGGCGGGAAGCAGCAGCUAAUUACAACCUAGAUUUAGCCUGACGUCACGGGCUCGAGCGCCAAGACCCAGCAGGCGUGACGUCACUGUUGAUCAGCCAAUGAGAACGCUCAGAGACUCCUACGUCACAGUAGUGGUGGUGCAGGAGCCCACAAACUGGCGCGCGCCUCCUCGAGUUUUGCGCGGGAGGAGUGAGGGCAAGCUCUCCUGUGUUGAAGCAGAGGAGUUCAGCAGUAACUGUUAGUCUUUAUGAAAUCUGAACUUCACAACCCCAGCAAGAUGUUUGAACUUCACAACCCCAGCAAGAUGUUUGAACUUCACAACCCCAGCAAGAUGUUUGAACUUCACAACCCCAGCAAGAUGUUUGAACUUCACAACCCUAGCAAGAUGUUUGAACUUCACAACCCCAGCAAGAUGUUUGAACUUCUCAACCCCAGCAAGAUGUUUGAACUUCUCAACCCCAGCAAGAUGUUUGAACUUCUCAACCCCUGAAUGAUUUCAGCAGUAACCUCAUGACACUUAAAUUGGGCAAGUAGUUAGUUAAACCAGGACAACUAACAUGAAGUAAAUUAAUAUUUCAUGUAUUCCUUGCUAUGUACUUUACCUUCUGUUAUAUUUAUUUUAUAUUAAACUGAUGUUUAUAAGAUUUAUAUUUUGGGAACAUGUUUGUUUAAUAAGAGGUGUGAGUGUUGCUCAUACCAGGAUGCUACACCUGGGUGCUGCUCAUACCUGGGUUGUUUAUACCUGGGUGCUGCUCAUACGUGGGCUAUUUAUACCUGGGUGCUGCUCACCUGGGCUGUUCAUACCUGGGGGCUACUAACAGCCUGGGUAGUGCUUGGGUUAUCAGCCUGGGUAGCACUGGGGCACUAUCUGCCUGGGUAGCACUGGGGCACUAUCUGCCUGGGUAGCACUUGGGCACUGCCUGGGUAGCACUUGGGCACUAUCUGCCUGGGUAGCACUUGGGCACUAUCAGCCUGGGUAGCACUUGGGCACUAUCAGCCUGGGUAGCACUUGGGCACUAUCUGCCUGGGUAGCACUUGGGCACUAUCUGCCUGGGUAGCACUUGGGCACUAUCUGCCUGGGUA